CCUACGGGUGGCUGCAGUGGGGAAUAUUGGGCAAUGGGCGCAAGCCUGAUCCUGCAACGCCGCGUGAAGGAAUAAGGCUUUCUGGUUGUAAACUUCUUUUGUCAGGGACGAAGCAAGUGACGGUACCUGACGAAUAAGCCACGGCUAACUACGUGCCAGCAGCCGCGGUAAUACGUAGGUGGCAAGCGUUAUUCGGAUUUAUUGGGGGUAAUGGGCGUGUAGGCGGGUUUGCAAGUCAGAUGUGAAAACCACGGGCUCAACCGGUGGCCUGCAUAUGAAACUGUAGUUCUUGAGUACUGGAGGGGCAGACGGAAUUCCUGGUGUAGCGGUGAAAUGCGUAGAUAUUGGGAGGAACACCAGUGGCGAAGGCGGUCUGCUGGACAGCAACUGACGCUGAGGCGCGAAGGCGUGGGGAGCAAACAGGAUUAGAUACCCCAGUAGUC
This 443-nucleotide ribosomal RNA is filed under the name uncultured bacterium. RNAcentral describes it as "partial 16S ribosomal RNA". It matches the Rfam family "Bacterial small subunit ribosomal RNA", at positions 338 to 795 of the family's 1533-position model. The record is from RNAcentral.